AUAUUUAAUUACAAUAUAAUGUUUUUGUUACAGAAACUCCCCCUCCACCAUACAGUCGCUACGUGAUGGACGACGUGAAGCCUAAAGAGCACGGCGAGAGCACAGAGGAUGCGAGGAGGACGGACCAUGAGCGGCUUCCCACGGGAUCCCUCGCCACCGACGGCGAAGAGCGACCCAGCUGGG
Papilio polytes (common Mormon) is the source of this 183-nucleotide long non-coding RNA. RefSeq lists it as uncharacterized. The record is from RefSeq and is a predicted model, not a curated record. The transcript is spliced from 3 exons. NCBI's taxonomy places the organism in Eukaryota, Metazoa, Arthropoda, Insecta, Lepidoptera, Papilionidae.